Molecule: ribosomal RNA, 443 nt
Filed under: uncultured bacterium
Lineage: Bacteria
Description: partial 16S ribosomal RNA
Rfam family: Bacterial small subunit ribosomal RNA
Source: RNAcentral
CCUACGGGAGGCAGCAGUGGGGAAUAUUGGACAAUGGGGGGAACCCUGAUCCAGCGACGCCGCGUGAGUGAAGAAGUAUUUCGGUAUGUAAAGCUCUAUCAGCAGGGAAGAAAGAAAUGACGGUACCUGACUAAGAAGCCCCGGCUAACUACGUGCCAGCAGCCGCGGUAAUACGUAGGGGGCAAGCGUUAUCCGGAUUUACUGGGUGUAAAGGGAGCGUAGACGGUUACGCAAGUCUGGAGUGAAAGGCGGGGGCCCAACCCCCGGACUGCUUUGGAAACUGUAUAACUGGAGUGCAGGAGAGGUAAGUGGAAUUCCUAGUGUAGCGGUGAAAUGCGUAGAUAUUAGGAGGAACACCAGUGGCGAAGGCGGCUUACUGAACUGUAACUGACGUUGAGGCUCGAAAGCGUGGGGAGCAAACAGGAUUAGAUACCCCAGUAGUC